RNAcentral lists this long non-coding RNA (737 nucleotides) under Varroa destructor (honeybee mite). RNAcentral describes it as "uncharacterized LOC111244579, transcript variant X1". The record is from RNAcentral. Lineage: Eukaryota; Metazoa; Arthropoda; Arachnida; Mesostigmata; Varroidae.
GAUGUUUUUGUUACCCAAUAUGCCUAUGCUUAGAGCUUGAAGUGAAAAAAGGGGGAACAUAUUGUACCUGGACGAGACGCUAACAACAGAAGGUCAAUGAAAGAGCUUUUUAAUGACAAACUUCACGUGCUGAAGAAACCUUCAAUGAGAUCACCGCCGCAAAUAAGUAUGCGUCUGCAAAAGAAACAGAGGCAGCUUCUAGCGUACCACGACGGAAAAUCUACGGCAGAGAAAAAAUAGUAUGGGUUCCAGUAUAAACGACAAAUUGCUACUCUCCAAAGGCAUAGCUUCCGCCGGGUCAAUUAGAAUUCGUGCAAAAUAUCAGGCAACGCGUCUACACUGUGAAACGUCUCCGCUGUAAUCAUCGUAUCUGUUGGCAGAUUGCGUAAAAGCUCGCGCGCACGUCGCCGUCGCCUGCAUUGGCGGGCGUCGUCUAUUUGUUGAUGUUGUUGUGAAGUCGUCAUAUCGUGAAUACAAGCUCAAUGUGAAAUCCGUAGAAAGCAGCCUGGUAAUGAUAGAUCCGAAGGUAGCAAACUGCAACAACUCUACCGCGCUCAUCGUCCGCUUCCUUUCGGCGGUAGGCAAUGCUUUUUAAUGCGACAGCUUAGUCUUGGUUUCGGCAGAAUUCCGAAAAGAUCGAUGAGGUUCUGCACGAGGCUGUGAAACUGGCCAUGUGCAACAUUCAACUUUCCUAUUUUAACUAUUCAAGAAAUAAAAAUGCCACCACUCCACUGUUA